GACGAACGCUGGCGGCGUGCCUAACACAUGCAAGUCGAGCGGAGAUUCGAGAUGUUUACAUCGAAGGAUCCUUAGCGGCGGACGGGUGAGUAACACGUGGGUAACCUGCCUCAGAGUGGGGGAUAGCCUUUUCGAAAGGAAGAUUAAUACCGCAUAAGAUUGUAGCGUCACAUGGCGCAGCAAGAAAAGGAGCAAUCCGCUUUGAGAUGGACCCGCGGCGCAUUAGCUAGUUGGUGAGGUAACGGCUCACCAAGGCCACGAUGCGUAGCCGACCUGAGAGGGUGAUCGGCCACAUUGGAACUGAGACACGGUCCAGACUCCUACGGGAGGCAGCAGUGGGGAAUAUUGCACAAUGGGCGAAAGCCUGAUGCAGCAACGCCGCGUGAGUGAUGAAGGCCUUCGGGUCGUAAAGCUCUUUGAUCAGGGAUGAUAAUGACAGUACCUGAAAAACAAGCCACGGCUAACUACGUGCCAGCAGCCGCGGUAAUACGUAGGUGGCGAGCGUUGUCCGGAAUUAUUGGGCGUAAAGGAUGCGUAGGUGGAUAUUUAAGUGGGAUGUGAAAUCCCCGGGCUCAACCCGGGAACUGCAUUCCAUACUGGAUGUCUAGAGUGCAGGAGAGGAAAGCGGAAUUCCUAGUGUAGCGGUGAAAUGCGUAGAUAUUAGGAGGAACACCAGUGGCGAAGGCGGCUUUCUGGACUGUAACUGACACUGAGGCAUGAAAGCGUGGGUAGCAAACAGGAUUAGAUACCCUGGUAGUCCACGCCGUAAACGAUGGGUACUAGGUGUAGGAGGUAUCGACCCCUUCUGUGCCGUCGUUAACACAAUAAGUACCCCGCCUGGGGAGUACGGUCGCAAGAAAUA
RNAcentral lists this ribosomal RNA (862 nucleotides) under uncultured bacterium. RNAcentral's name for it is "bacterial SSU rRNA". It matches the Rfam family "Bacterial small subunit ribosomal RNA", at positions 28 to 897 of the family's 1533-position model. The record is from RNAcentral.